Molecule: ribosomal RNA, 275 nt
Filed under: uncultured bacterium
Lineage: Bacteria
Description: partial 16S ribosomal RNA
Rfam family: Bacterial small subunit ribosomal RNA
Source: RNAcentral
AGACGGAGGGCGCAAGCGUUGUUCGGAAUUACUGGGCGUAAAGCGCGGGCAGGUGGUCUGUUAAGUCGUUUGUGAAAAUCCGGGGCUCAACCCCGCGAAAUGCAAGCGAUACUGGCAGACUGGAGAUCGGUAGAGGCUAGCGGAAUUCCUGGUGUAGCGGUGGAAUGCGUAGAUAUCAGGAAGAACACCUGUGGCGAAGGCGGCUAGCUGGGCCGAGUCUGACACUCAUCCGCGAAAGCGUGGGGAGCAAACAGGAUUAGAAACCCCAGUAGUCC